CCAGCGGUCCUUUUCAGGACCACCAUAAAAAGAGUAACUUUUCUU
Molecule: non-coding RNA, 45 nt
Organism: Soboliphyme baturini
Lineage: Eukaryota; Metazoa; Nematoda; Enoplea; Dioctophymatida; Soboliphymatidae
Source: Rfam